UUUUUUUAUUUUCCUUCUUCCUUCUUUCUCCUUUCUCCUACCUAAUCCAACUCCUCCCCUUCUUCUACCUGCGUGUUACACUUGUUCACGAGCGCACGCAUUCGUGCUUCCCCUGCGCGAGCGUUCUGCAACCUCGCACUUACUGCUUAACACUUAGUGCGUGAGAGAUGAACAGAGCAUUCAUCUCUCUGGAUGACGACCCAUGGUUUAACGCAUGGAUGGCAUU
This 226-nucleotide long non-coding RNA is filed under the name Pelobates cultripes (western spadefoot toad). Lineage: Eukaryota; Metazoa; Chordata; Amphibia; Anura; Pelobatidae. The record is from RNAcentral.